GAUGAACGCUGGCGGCGUGCCUAAUACAUGCAAGUCGAGCGAACGGACGAGAAGCUUGCUUCUCUGAUGUUAGCGGCGGACGGGUGAGUAACACGUGGAUAACCUACCUAUAAGACUGGGAUAACUUCGGGAAACCGGAGCUAAUACCGGAUAAUAUUUUGAACCGCAUGGUUCAAAAGUGAAAGACGGUCUUGCUGUCACUUAUAGAUGGAUCCGCGCUGCAUUAGCUAGUUGGUAAGGUAACGGCUUACCAAGGCAACGAUGCAUAGCCGACCUGAGAGGGUGAAGCGAAACAGAGGAAGAGAACAAGGGACAGACCGCAGAGGGGGGGAGGAGGGAGGAAUUCGCCAGAAAGGGGAAAAAGCGGGAAGAAAAAGCGGGGGGGGAGUAAGAAGGGUGUAGGAAUCAAAAAACUGUUUUAGGGGGAAAAAAAAUAGGGGAAAGUAAGGGUGCAAAUCUGGAGGAAACAAAACAAAAAAACAAGGAAAAACAAGGGA
Molecule: ribosomal RNA, 497 nt
Filed under: uncultured bacterium
Lineage: Bacteria
Description: partial 16S ribosomal RNA
Rfam family: Bacterial small subunit ribosomal RNA (bases 20-340)
Source: RNAcentral